Molecule: ribosomal RNA, 351 nt
Filed under: uncultured bacterium
Lineage: Bacteria
Description: bacterial SSU rRNA
Rfam family: Bacterial small subunit ribosomal RNA
Source: RNAcentral
ACUCCUACGGGAGGCAGCAGUGGGGAAUAUUGCACAAUGGGGGGAAACCCUGAUGCAGCCAUGCCGCGUGUGUGAAGAAGGCCUUCGGGUUGUAAAGCACUUUCAGUAGGGAGGAAAGGUUGAUGGUUAAUACCUAUCAGCGUGACGUUACCCACAGAAGAAGCACCGGCUAACUCCGUGCCAGCAGCCGCGGUAAUACGGAGGGUGCAAGCGUUAAUCGGAAUUACUGGGCGUAAAGCGUGCGCAGGCGGUCUGUUAAGCGAGAUGUGAAAGCCCCGGGCUCAACCUGGGGAACUGCAUUUCGAAACUGGCAGACUAGAGUCUUGUAGAGGGGGGUAGAAUUCCAGGUGU